Molecule: ribosomal RNA, 253 nt
Filed under: uncultured bacterium
Lineage: Bacteria
Description: partial 16S ribosomal RNA
Rfam family: Bacterial small subunit ribosomal RNA
Source: RNAcentral
UACGUAGGGGGCAAGCGUUGUCCGGAAUCAUUGGGCGUAAAGAGCGUGUAGGCGGCCAGAUAAGUCCGCUGUGAAAACUCGAGGCUCAACUUCGAGCUGUCGGUGGAAACUAUUUGGCUAGAGUCCGGAAGAGGAGAGUGGAAUUCCUGGUGUAGCGGUGAAAUGCGCAGAUAUCAGGAAGAACACCUGUGGCUAAGGCGGCUCUCUAGUACGGUACUGACGCUGAGACGCGAAAGCGUGGGGAGCGAACAGG